GCUGGGCACAGUGGCUUACGCCUGUAAUCCCAGCAGCUUGGGAGGCUGAGGCAGGAGAAUCAUGAGUUCAAAGCCAGCCUCAGCAAAGGCCAGGUGCUAAGCAACUCAGUGGAACCCUGUCUCUA
This 125-nucleotide small RNA is filed under the name Marmota monax (woodchuck). Lineage: Eukaryota; Metazoa; Chordata; Mammalia; Rodentia; Sciuridae. The record is from RNAcentral.